This 2063-nucleotide long non-coding RNA is filed under the name Homo sapiens (human). RNAcentral describes it as "HSALNT0236631". Lineage: Eukaryota; Metazoa; Chordata; Mammalia; Primates; Hominidae. The record is from RNAcentral.
GGACAGAGCAGGGCUGGCGGGAGGCAGGCAAAAGACGGAAUUUUCCUGAAAAAACGGGGGUAUCUGAGGACCCCAAAUUUGGGGAGCUAGUCCAGGACCGUCCUCCCAACAUCCUAGAUUUUUUUGGGAUUUUUUGGGGACCCCGGGACCCCUCUAGAUGGGGUGAGGAAUGUAGUGUUGGGUGAAUCUGACUGGGGCAUUGCAGCUGCCUCUCCCGCCGAGUUGGAGACGGAUGGGCUGGGACGGGUUUUGGGGGGGUGUCCCCAAUUCUGACUGGGAGUGGAGGAACCCCUCCUGAGAUCUCUUGUGGGGGUGCCCCCUCCCCAGGGCACUCCCCAGUCCCUGAGCCAGCCGAGAGGAAGGAGGCCAGCGAUGCGACUGGGGCGGCUCCUUUCUCCUGCACCCCAAAUGUGAGGGAUGCACCCUAAAUUUUGCUCUUUUCAAAAUAGGGGACCAGGAUCUCAGGGGAGAGUAGCUGAGGCCUUGCUCGGAGUCCCAGGAGAUCCACAGGUCCGGCAUGAACAGUGAGAGGUCAGAGGUGGAAGGCUCAGCAGGAGAGGAGAGGAGGAUCAGCAGAGGUCAUGAGAAGGCCAGAAUCCAGGGUCAGGCUGUCUGGAACAGGAAGUAAAAUGGGCCGAGAUGGAGCGAGCCCCCAGUGUGCUUCCAAGGCCACUCCCACCUCCCUGAAACACCCUGCUACGUACUGAUCCAAUGCCCUGCGCUGUGUAUGAGAGCACCUUCUCUUCUGAAACCCCUAUACAAGGGAGGGGCCCCUGCGGAGACCGUGCCCUGCCAUCCAGGUGAGCCCUUUCUCCCCAACCCCGUCAGCUGUGUGGGAGGAGGAGGACUCCUACCCUGGUCGAAGUUGAGUUUCUUAGCUGGAGGAGUUUCUCCUAGCCCUUCAAUAUCCACCACGUCACUGUUGGCAUCGGAGUCGUUCAGAGCACUGAGUGUCACAUCUGGGAAGGGGGCAUAAGCUAGGUUCUAGGUUCCCCUGACAGCCUCUCCCCCAGCCCCAAGCUUCCCAAAGCUUUGUGCCUCCUCUCCCCUCCCCUCUGCCCCUCUCUGGGAACCUCCACAGGGACAGGAAGAGAGACUGACCCUUCUUUGACCCAGGCCCAAUUCUCUCACUAAACCUCAGAUGGGACCUUUAACCCCUAGGCAGCAACUCCACAGCCCUCACCAGCCUUCUGUUUCUUUAUGGGGGGACCCCCGGCCUCAGGGACACUGGAGCUGCUGGGAGGAGGGGCAGCUGGAGGAGGUGACAAGACACCAGAUGCCACCUUCUUGGGCCCUUUCUUGGGUGACUCAGCUGGAAGGGGGAUGCCAGAAUCUUCAUAUACCUUGCGUUUCACAGUGGCCUUUAUCUGGGCCCUGAAGAAAAGAGAGAAGAGGUUAGGAAAGGAGUCAUCAGAGAGACUAACAGAAGAGGGGACGGGAGGGGAAGGGGUUCUGGGAGUCCCUUCAUAAGAAUCCAGGUCGGGGCCCCAACCCAUUGGUAGGGUUCUCACUUUCUCGAAGUUUUACACUCACUCAGGAUGGAUGGAGUGUGGAGAGUGGAGUCCCUGAACUGAGUAGUGGGAAAGGCCCAUCUCCUAAUUCUCUUCUGGGAGAGACAUCAGGUAGAGCUUGGUGAUUUACAGGUGGAUUGAGAUUUACUGAUCAACUAGUUCAGGGUCACCAUAUCCCUGGAAACACUGCAGUGGGGUCCUCAAACAUUUAUAUAAAUAACCAGGGGACUUCCAUCAUCAAAUACAAUAACAGCAUCUCAGGCAACCUAAAUUCACAUUCUUGGAAGGAUUACCACAGCAUUUUAGGAACUUCUGACCAACUGUGACAAUUCUAUUCUUUCAGUCCUCAAGGGGAUUCUAAAAAACUAGUGACAAAGUAGGGAAGCAGCUGAGCUGGAAAGGAGUUCUGAGGACGAUGGAACCUUGGGUAAGGAGGAAGAAGGCUGCCCACCCGCCCUUUUCUGGCAGCCACCCUCCCUCACACUGUCCGUUCCUUGAUGACACAGCUGAUGUGAUUAAGAUCGUCCCCAAAUCGCUUCACAGCAGCCCUCA